Long non-coding RNA from Oncorhynchus gorbuscha (pink salmon), 1522 nucleotides. RefSeq lists it as uncharacterized. The record is from RefSeq and is a predicted model, not a curated record. The transcript is spliced from 3 exons. NCBI's taxonomy places the organism in Eukaryota, Metazoa, Chordata, Actinopteri, Salmoniformes, Salmonidae.
UACAUCAGAAGGAGGGGGGAUGGACUCGUGCUGUGCCUCAGCUGCUCUGAGAGCAUGGAUCAGCAGCUAUUGCCAAACACUUUCUUGGCUGCUAAUAGCACUUUUUCCUCUUCUUUGUGUGGCUGAUAGUAGGUAUUUAAAACGGCAACAGCGAAUCAGUCGAGUCUUCCUCACUGCAAGAUGCCUUCUUCUGCUCAUGUGGGGCAUGCACAAAAUCCGUAUCAUGCGCUCUCCUUGUUUUUGUUGAUACAGAAUGGAAAGAAUAGUAGGUUCGUUUUUUUUUUUACGGUGAGGUCAAAAUGAUGCACACAUCCCCAUCCUCCAGAUUUGGGACCAUCACAGACACUAUCAGCUUUUUCUUUCAAAUGUUUCCCCUCACAGUAAAGAAAAAAAAACUUACAGAGAAUUUUCUGUAUUAUUUAGGGGGAAAGUGGAAAAAUUAUCCCUCUUUUUCAGAUCAUCUUCAAGAUAGAACACAAUUGGUCCGCUGUCUGCUGGAAAGGUUAUGACUGUGGAUGCAAAUGAUUUUCUCGCUAACCAGAACACGGGCCGAGGGUCACGGGAGGUCACUGCCUCUCGCUGUGUGCCGGGAGCAGACACAGACGGUUAAUGACCGGGCACAGCAUCAAAGAGCCGCCAGGGUUCUGUCCAUAGAGAUGGUCAGCUGAGGACCAAGACGGCUGGGUCUAGUCACAGCUGACCACAUACAGUCCAUAUCAUAAGUAUUCACUCUCUUUGGAUGUGGUAUUAAAAUGGAUUUAAUUGUCUAUUAUUUUUGUAUCUACACAAAAACACUCUCUAAUGUAAAAGUAAAUUAAUUCAAUGAAUGAAAAAUGAAAAGCUAAUAUUAUAAACAUAUUUGGCAGCGAUUUUAGCUGUGAGUCUUUUGGGGUAAGUCUCUUAACGUUUUGCACACCUGUGCCAUAUUUGCCCAUUAUUCUUUAAAAAAAAUAUUCAAGCUCUGUCAAGUUGGUUGUUGUUAGACAGACAUUUUCAAGUCUUGCCAUAGUUUUUCAAGCAGAUUUAAGUCAAAACUGUAACUAGGCCACUCAGGUACAUUCACUGACUUCUUGGUAAGCAACUGAAAUGUAGAGUUGGCCUUGUGUUUUAGACUAUUGCCCUACUAACAGGUUAAUUUGUCUCCCAGUGUCUGGUGGAAAGUAGACUGAACCAGGUUUUCCUCUAGGAUUUUGCCUGUGGUACGGUCCAUUCUGUUUAUUUUUAUCCUGACAAACUCCCUAGUCCUUGAAGAUGAGAAGUCUACCCAUAACAUGAUGCAGCCACCAUCAUGCUUGAAAAUAUGGAGAGUAAUAUUCAGUAUCACCUGUUUAGUCCCUUGUUGCAAACAUGAUGCAUGUUUUGCUAUUUUUGUCCUAUACAAGCUUCCUUCUUUUCGCUCUGUCAUGUGGGUUAGUAUUGUAACUACAAUGUUGUUGAUCCAUCCUCACUUUUUUUUCAAAAAUCACAGCCAUUAACUACCAUGUUGUUGUGUUACUACCAUGUUGUGUUCAUGUUGCGUUGC